UUGUCAUGCCAAUGGCACUGCCCGGUAGCUAAAUGCGGAAGAGAUAAGUGCUGAAAGCAUCUAAGCACGAAACUUGCCCCGAGAUGAGUUCUCCCUGAGACUUAGAGUCUCCUGAAGGAACGUUGAAGACGACGACGUUGAUAGGCCGGGUGUGUAAGCGCAGCGAUGCGUUGAGCUAACCGGUACUAAUGAACCGUGAGGCUUAACCUU
Molecule: ribosomal RNA, 210 nt
Filed under: Escherichia coli
Lineage: Bacteria; Pseudomonadati; Pseudomonadota; Gammaproteobacteria; Enterobacterales; Enterobacteriaceae
Also listed under: 8 other names
Description: partial 23S ribosomal RNA
Rfam family: Bacterial large subunit ribosomal RNA
Source: RNAcentral